RNAcentral lists this ribosomal RNA (555 nucleotides) under uncultured bacterium. Its description in RNAcentral is "partial 16S ribosomal RNA". It matches the Rfam family "Bacterial small subunit ribosomal RNA", at positions 355 to 902 of the family's 1533-position model. The record is from RNAcentral.
UGGGGAAUUUUGGACAAUGGGCGAAAGCCUGAUCCAGCAAUGCCGCGUGUGUGAAGAAGGCCUUCGGGUUGUAAAGCACUUUUGUCCGGAAAGAAAUCCUUGGCUCUAAUACAGUCGGGGGAUGACGGUACCGGAAGAAUAAGCACCGGCUAACUACGUGCCAGCAGCCGCGGUAAUACGUAGGGUGCAAGCGUUAAUCGGAAUUACUGGGCGUAAAGCGUGCGCAGGCGGUUUGCUAAGACCGAUGUGAAAUCCCCGGGCUCAACCUGGGAACUGCAUUGGUGACUGGCAGGCUAGAGUAUGGCAGAGGGGGGUAGAAUUCCACGUGUAGCAGUGAAAUGCGUAGAGAUGUGGAGGAAUACCGAUGGCGAAGGCAGCCCCCUGGGCCAAUACUGACGCUCAUGCACGAAAGCGUGGGGAGCAAACAGGAUUAGAUACCCUGGUAGUCCACGCCCUAAACGAUGUCAACUAGUUGUUGGGGAUUCAUUUCCUUAGUAACGUAGCUAACGCGUGAAGUUGACCGCCUGGGGGAGUACGGUCGCAAGAUUAAAACUC